AUUUCAACAUGAGGGACCCACUGACAGAUUGUCCGUAUAAUAAAGUAUACAAGAACCUAAAGGAGUUUUCUCAAAAUGGAGAGAAUUUCUGCAAACAGGUCACAUCUGUUCUUCAGCAAAGGUACAAAAUGCACGUUUGCAAUAAAUGGUUCUUCCUCUUUAGUUGUAGCAAGUGAUAUGACUGGAGGAGUGAUUACAAGCUGUCCUACUUUCCAGAAUGUGGUGUUGUAUUUUGGUACUCGAGAGAUUGCUUGAAGAAUGAUUCUCCCCUAUUGCACAUUUAUCAACUGGAUGCCAUAAAAAUCAAGAAACAACAGGAAGUAAUUCAGCUUAGGAAGGCUUAGUCAAGUCUCUUCUGAUUCCUCAGACUGGGUUUAUUACCCUCUCCUGGGGCCCACUGUUGGAUCUGAUGCAUACUCUCAUUAUUGUACUUUUCACACCAACAGCAAUUAUUUACAUUUUUCUCUCCCUAGAAGGGCAGAGGCAGUCUUACUCAUCAUUGUAUGCUGACCUCUUAGAGCCUGGCCUUUUGAUUUCCUUAGUCACUGUCAG
This 552-nucleotide small RNA is filed under the name Pongo abelii (Sumatran orangutan). RNAcentral describes it as "retained intron". Lineage: Eukaryota; Metazoa; Chordata; Mammalia; Primates; Hominidae. The record is from RNAcentral.